This 481-nucleotide ribosomal RNA is filed under the name uncultured bacterium. Its description in RNAcentral is "partial 16S ribosomal RNA". It matches the Rfam family "Bacterial small subunit ribosomal RNA", at positions 30 to 507 of the family's 1533-position model. The record is from RNAcentral.
AUUGAACGCUGGCGGCAUGCCUUACACAUGCAAGUCGAACGGUAACAGGUCUUCGGAUGCUGACGAGUGGCGCACGGGUGAGUAAUACAUCGGAACGUGCCCGAUCGUGGGGGAUACGGAGCGAAAGCUUUGCUAAUACCGCAUACGAUCUACGGAUGAAAGCAGGGGACCGCAAGGCCUUGCGCGGACGGAGCGGCCGAUGGCAGAUUAGGUAGUUGGUGGGAUAAAAGCUUACCAAGCCGACGAUCUGUAGCUGGUCUGAGAGGACGACCAGCCACACUGGGACUGAGACACGGCCCAGACUCCUACGGGAGGCAGCAGUGGGGAAGUUUGGACAAUGGGCGAAAGCCUGAUCCAGCCAUGCCGCGUGCAGGAUGAAGGCCUUCGGGUUGUAAACUGCUUUUGUACGGAACGAAAAGACUCUUUCUAAUAAAGAGGGUCCAUGACGGUACCGUAAGAAUAAGCACCGGCUAACUACGUG